RNAcentral lists this ribosomal RNA (1458 nucleotides) under uncultured organism. RNAcentral describes it as "SSU rRNA". It matches the Rfam family "Bacterial small subunit ribosomal RNA". The record is from RNAcentral.
UGACGAACGCUGGCGGCGUGCCUAAUACAUGCAAGUAGAACGCUGAAGAGAGGAGCUUGCUCUUCUUGGAUGAGUUGCGAACGGGUGAGUAACGCGUAGGUAACCUGCCUUGUAGCGGGGGAUAACUAUUGGAAACGAUAGCUAAUACCGCAUAACAAUGGAUGACACAUGUCAUUUAUUUGAAAGGGGCAAUUGCUCCACUACAAGAUGGACCUGCGUUGUAUUAGCUAGUAGGUGAGGUAACGGCUCACCUAGGCGACGAUACAUAGCCGACCUGAGAGGGUGAUCGGCCACACUGGGACUGAGACACGGCCCAGACUCCUACGGGAGGCAGCAGUAGGGAAUCUUCGGCAAUGGGGGCAACCCUGACCGAGCAACGCCGCGUGAGUGAAGAAGGUUUUCGGAUCGUAAAGCUCUGUUGUAAGUCAAGAACGAGUGUGAGAGUGGAAAGUUCACACUGUGACGGUAGCUUACCAGAAAGGGACGGCUAACUACGUGCCAGCAGCCGCGGUAAUACGUAGGUCCCGAGCGUUGUCCGGAUUUAUUGGGCGUAAAGCGAGCGCAGGCGGUUUGAUAAGUCUGAAGUUAAAGGCUGUGGCUCAACCAUAGUUCGCUUUGGAAACUGUCAAACUUGAGUGCAGAAGGGGAGAGUGGAAUUCCAUGUGUAGCGGUGAAAUGCGUAGAUAUAUGGAGGAACACCGGUGGCGAAAGCGGCUCUCUGGUCUGUAACUGACGCUGAGGCUCGAAAGCGUGGGGAGCGAACAGGAUUAGAUACCCUGGUAGUCCACGCCGUAAACGAUGAGUGCUAGGUGUUGGAUCCUUUCCGGGAUUCAGUGCCGCAGCUAACGCAUUAAGCACUCCGCCUGGGGAGUACGACCGCAAGGUUGAAACUCAAAGGAAUUGACGGGGGCCCGCACAAGCGGUGGAGCAUGUGGUUUAAUUCGAAGCAACGCGAAGAACCUUACCAGGUCUUGACAUCCCGAUGCUAUUUCUAGAGAUAGAAAGUUACUUCGGUACAUCGGUGACAGGUGGUGCAUGGUUGUCGUCAGCUCGUGUCGUGAGAUGUUGGGUUAAGUCCCGCAACGAGCGCAACCCCUAUUGUUAGUUGCCAUCAUUCAGUUGGGCACUCUAGCGAGACUGCCGGUAAUAAACCGGAGGAAGGUGGGGAUGACGUCAAAUCAUCAUGCCCCUUAUGACCUGGGCUACACACGUGCUACAAUGGUUGGUACAACGAGUUGCGAGUCGGUGACGGCAAGCUAAUCUCUUAAAGCCAAUCUCAGUUCGGAUUGUAGGCUGCAACUCGCCUACAUGAAGUCGGAAUCGCUAGUAAUCGCGGAUCAGCACGCCGCGGUGAAUACGUUCCCGGGCCUUGUACACACCGCCCGUCACACCACGAGAGUUUGUAACACCCGAAGUCGGUGAGGUAACCUUUUGGAGCCAGCCGCCUAAGGUGGGAUA